GCACGGUUGUCAGAGAGGCUAUGAGCGGGAUUGCAGAUCCUGAGACGGGAGUUCGAAUCUCCCACCGUGCUCCA
Molecule: transfer RNA, 74 nt
Filed under: Rhodospirillales bacterium
Lineage: Bacteria; Pseudomonadati; Pseudomonadota; Alphaproteobacteria; Rhodospirillales
Also listed under: 1 other name
Description: tRNA-Cys
Rfam family: tRNA
About the family: Transfer RNA (tRNA) molecules are approximately 80 nucleotides in length. Their secondary structure includes four short double-helical elements and three loops (D, anti-codon, and T loops).
Source: RNAcentral